AUACGGAGGGUGCGAGCGUUAUCCGGAAUUACUGGGUUUAAAGGGUGCGUAGGCGGAAAUUUAAGUCUGGGGUGAAAUAUUGUGGCUUAACCAUAAGAUUGCCUUGGAUACUGGGUUUCUUGAAUUGGGAUGAGGAUGGCGGAAUGUGACAUGUAGCGGUGAAAUGCAUAGAUAUGUCAUAGAACACCAAUUGCGAAGGCAGCUAUCUGGUCUCAUAUUGACGCUGAGGCACGAAAGCGUGGGGAGCGAACAGGAUUAGAUACCCUGGUAGUCCACGCCCUAAACGAUGCUAACUCGAUGUUUGGCCCUUGAGGUUGAGCAUCCAAGCGAAAGCGUUAAGUUAGCCACCUGGGGAGUACGACCGCAAGGUUGAA
RNAcentral lists this ribosomal RNA (374 nucleotides) under uncultured bacterium. RNAcentral's name for it is "bacterial SSU rRNA". It matches the Rfam family "Bacterial small subunit ribosomal RNA", at positions 523 to 898 of the family's 1533-position model. The record is from RNAcentral.